RNAcentral lists this transfer RNA (68 nucleotides) under Purpura persica. RNAcentral describes it as "tRNA-Lys". It matches the Rfam family "tRNA". From Rfam's summary of the family: Transfer RNA (tRNA) molecules are approximately 80 nucleotides in length. Their secondary structure includes four short double-helical elements and three loops (D, anti-codon, and T loops). The record is from RNAcentral. Lineage: Eukaryota; Metazoa; Mollusca; Gastropoda; Neogastropoda; Muricidae.
UCUUAGGUGACUGAGUUAAUUAAGUGUUAGAUUUUUAAUCUAAAGACAGCAAAUAUGCUCCUAAGAAC